RNAcentral lists this ribosomal RNA (450 nucleotides) under uncultured bacterium. Its description in RNAcentral is "partial 16S ribosomal RNA". It matches the Rfam family "Bacterial small subunit ribosomal RNA", at positions 354 to 796 of the family's 1533-position model. The record is from RNAcentral.
GUGGGGAAUAUUCCGCAAUGGACGAAAGUCUGACGGAGCAACGCCGCGUGAGUGAUGAAGGUUUUCGGACUGUAAAGCUCUGUUGUUUAGGACGAAAGUGCCUGUUGCGAACAGUUACAGGUAUUGACGGUACUAAACGAGGAAGCCACGGCUAACUACGUGCCAGCAGCCGCGGUAAUACGUAGGUGGCAAGCGUUGUCCGGAAUUAUUGGGCGUAAAGAGCAUGUAGGCGGAGUUUUAAGUCUGUUGUGAAAAUGCGGGGCUCAACCCCGUAUUGCGAUGGAAACUGAAUGUCUUGAGUGCAGGAGAGGAAAGGGGAAUUCCCAGUGUAGCGGUGAAAUGCGUAGAUAUUGGGAGGAACACCAGUGGCGAAGGCGCCUUUCUGGACUGUGUCUGACGCUGAGAUGUGAAAGCCAGGGUAGCGAACGGGAUUAGAAACCCCGGUAGUCC